This 545-nucleotide unclassified non-coding RNA is filed under the name Hevea brasiliensis (rubber tree). The record is from RNAcentral. Lineage: Eukaryota; Viridiplantae; Streptophyta; Magnoliopsida; Malpighiales; Euphorbiaceae.
AACAAUGCAAAGCAGAGAUAAGAUUUUACCUUCCCAUCAUCAUCCUGAGGAUUAGUCCCUAGCGAAACAUGAGCUCCUCAAAUCAAUCUCGGUGUCAAGCACAACUCAACUAAAAUCGACUCGCUGUGUGGGAUGGGAAAUUCAUUAGUGACUUAUAUGUUGAUUGGGUUCGUACAAACCCAUUGACGUUGCGUGCCAUGAUCUUGAAGGUUAACAGUCUUCAACCCAAUAGGCUUGUCCCACCGCAAUUUAAAUGAGCAGCUGUGUGCAUUAAGGCUCGAUUCAAUGGGUGUGAAGGAGUGGUCAGAUGGGUCAGUUUGUAGUGACUGGUCGAAGGAAAGGGAUUUGGUUGCAGCGUGGUUCUAUUUGAGGAAUGAGGGCGAGAGGGAUGGGCCGCAACUGAGUUUUUGUGUUCUAUUUGGGUAAAGGCAAGGCUUUGGAGGUGGAAAGCAAGCUGGGAUGGUGGGUUGAUGGUGGUUCAGGUGGAGGAAGAUGAAGGCGAAGAAGUUCUUAUUUGUGGUGUUUGGAGAAGUGGAAAGUUGAAA